This 618-nucleotide ribosomal RNA is filed under the name Sciaenops ocellatus (red drum). RNAcentral describes it as "partial 16S ribosomal RNA". It matches the Rfam family "Bacterial large subunit ribosomal RNA", at positions 1797 to 2619 of the family's 2925-position model. The record is from RNAcentral. Lineage: Eukaryota; Metazoa; Chordata; Actinopteri; Sciaenidae.
CGCCUGUUUAUCAAAAACAUCGCCUCUUGCAAAAUUAACGAAUAAGAGGUCCUGCCUGCCCUGUGACCAUGAGUUCAACGGCCGCGGUAUUUUGACCGUGCAAAGGUAGCGCAAUCACUUGUCUUUUAAAUGAAGACCCGUAUGAAUGGCAAGACGAGGGCUUAGCUGUCUCCUUUUUCAAGUCAAUGAAAUUGAUCUUCCCGUGCAGAAGCGGGAAUUCCGACAUAAGACGAGAAGACCCUAUGGAGCUUUAGACACCAAGACAGACCACGUCAAAACUCCCUAAUAAAGGACCGAACUAAAUGGACCCUGUCCUAAUGUCUUUGGUUGGGGCGACCACGGGGAAAUACAAAACCCCCGCGUGGAAUGGGAGUACCCUUGCUCCUACAACUGAGAGCUUCCGCUCUAAUAAACAGAAUUUCUGACCAACAAGAUCCGGCAACGCCGAUCAACGAACCGAGUUACCCUAGGGAUAACAGCGCAAUCCUCUUUUAGAGCCCAUAUCGACAAGGGGGUUUACGACCUCGAUGUUGGAUCAGGACAUCCUAAUGGUGCAGCCGCUAUUAAGGGUUCGUUUGUUCAACGAUUAAAGUCCUACGUGAUCUGAGUUCAGACCGG